UUUUUCUUUCUUUCUUUUCUU
Molecule: small RNA, 21 nt
Filed under: Arabidopsis thaliana (thale cress)
Lineage: Eukaryota; Viridiplantae; Streptophyta; Magnoliopsida; Brassicales; Brassicaceae
Description: ATSL183410
Source: RNAcentral